This 449-nucleotide ribosomal RNA is filed under the name uncultured bacterium. Its description in RNAcentral is "bacterial SSU rRNA". It matches the Rfam family "Bacterial small subunit ribosomal RNA", at positions 354 to 796 of the family's 1533-position model. The record is from RNAcentral.
GUGGGGAAUUUUGGACAAUGGGCGAAAGCCUGAUCCAGCAACGCCGCGUGAGUGAUGAAGGCCUUCGGGUUGUAAAGCUCUGUCGGAGGGAACGAAUAAGGGACACCUAAUACGUGUCCCGAUGACGGUACUCUCAAAGGAAGCACCGGCUAACUCUGUGCCAGCAGCCGCGGUAAGACAGAGGGUGCAAGCGUUGUUCGGAAUUACUGGGCGUAAAGGGCGUGUAGGCGGCAAGGUAUGUCCGUUGUGAAAUCCCUCGGCUUAACUGGGGAAGUGCAUCGGAAACUACUUAGCUAGAGUAUAGGAGAGGAUGGCGGAAUUCCCAGAGUAGAGGUGAAAUUCGUAGAUACUGGGAGGAACACCUGAGGCGAAGGCGGCCAUCUGGCCUAUUACUGACGCUGAUACGCAAAAGCGUGGGGAGCAAACAGGAUUAGAAACCCUAGUAGUCC